Molecule: non-coding RNA, 71 nt
Organism: Elusimicrobia bacterium GWC2_61_19
Lineage: Bacteria; Pseudomonadati; Elusimicrobiota
Source: Rfam
UACCCUUGUAAUCCCCCGAACAGGCGGGGGAGAAUCCACCGGCGGGCCUUAACCCGCUGUAACCAGGGGAA